AAAAGCUCGUAGUUGGAUCUCAGCUCCGGCCGGACGGUCCGCCUACCGGUGGUUACUGUUCGCAGCCGAGCGUUCAGGCGGUUAUUCUUGAUGAUCUUCACCGGUUGUCUCGGGUGACCGCCAAGUUUACUUUGAAAAAAUUAGAGUGCUCAAAGCAGGCGUGACGCCUGAAUAAUUGUGCAUGGAAUAAUGGAAUAGGACCUCGGUUCUAUUUUGUUGGUUUUCGGAACACGAGGUAAUGAUUAAGAGGGACAGACGGGGGCAUUCGUAUUGCGACGCUAGAGGUGAAAUUCUUGGACCGUCGCAAGACGAACUACUGCGAAAGCAUUUGCCAAGAAUGUUUCCGUUAAUCAAGAACGAAAGUUAGAGGUUCGAAGGCGAUCAGAUACCGCCCUAGUUCUAACCAUAAACGAUGCCAGCCAGCGAUCCGGCUGUGUUCCUCAAAUGACACGCCGGGCAGCUUCCGGGAAACCAAAGCCUUUGGGUUCCGGGGGAAGUAUGGUUGCAAAGCUGAAACUUAAAGGAAUUGACGGAAGGGCACUACAAGGAUUGGAGCCUGCGGCUUAAUUUGACUCAACACGGGAAAACUUACCCGGCCCGGACACAGGAAGGAUUGACAGAUUAAGAGCUCUUUCUUGAUUCUGUGGGUGGUGGUGCAUGGUCGUUCUUAGUUGGUGGGGUGACUUGUCUGGUUGAUUCCGAUAACGAACGAGACUCUAGCCUACUAAAUAGACGUUCCCAUCCUCUUGUAGUGGGACGUUCUUCUUAGAGGGACAAGCGGCGCUUAGCCGCACGAGACAGAGCAAUAACAGGUCUGGGAUGCCCUUAGAUGUCCGGGGCCGCACGCGCGCUACAUUGAAGGAAUCAGCGUGUGCUUUCCCUGUCCGAAAGGACUGGGUAACCCGUUGAACCUCCUUCGUGCUGGGGAUUGGCGCAUGUAAUUGUCGCCAUGAACGAGGAAUUCCUAGUAAGCACGAGUCAUCAGCUCGUGUUGAUUACGUCCCUGCCCUUUGUCCACACCGCCCGUCGCUACUACCGAUUGAAUGAUUUAGUGAGGUCUUCGGACUGGCGCUCGGAUUGGCCUUCGCGGUCGAGCCGGUGUGCCGGAAAGAUGACCAAACUUGAUCAUUUAGAGGAAGUAAAAGUCGUAACAAGGUUUU
RNAcentral lists this ribosomal RNA (1160 nucleotides) under Bijoaraneus praesignis. RNAcentral describes it as "SSU rRNA". It matches the Rfam family "Eukaryotic small subunit ribosomal RNA", at positions 622 to 1803 of the family's 1831-position model. Lineage: Eukaryota; Metazoa; Arthropoda; Arachnida; Araneae; Araneidae. The record is from RNAcentral.